CAAAGAAGAUACUGAAGAACCAACAGCAGGCAAAAAGAUUGGCCAAAAUGAGUAAUUAUCAACAUUUGCAACAUCCCAAGCAGCAAGUCAUUUGCUGUCUACUGAACAAUAGCAUCUGAAACAUGCAAAGCUAGGGCAUAUAACAUUUCAUUUAAAAUAAACCAUGGAGAUUUGACUAUCACAAUUCAUAAGUAACACAAGAAACAGAGUUAUUCAAAAAAUGACUAAAAUAGUUCAAAGAGCUGUCUAGAUAAUAGAAUCUAGAAAAAUAUUCAAAGCUUUCCUACUUUUAUGAAGUUACCCUUAAUCUAAAAUGUGGUUAAUAUCUUCACAGAAGAGUUUAGGAUCUUAGCAUAAAUGUUUUCAGAUGUUGUUUUUAAUUGAAAUCAAAGAUACCAGCACAUUUGGUAGGCAAGUAAAACAAAGGGGAGAGUACCUGUGAGGCUAUAAAGAAUGAAGG
This 460-nucleotide unclassified non-coding RNA is filed under the name Hevea brasiliensis (rubber tree). The record is from RNAcentral. Lineage: Eukaryota; Viridiplantae; Streptophyta; Magnoliopsida; Malpighiales; Euphorbiaceae.